AGCAGUCGCCACGGUAAUACGUAGGGUGCGAGCGUUAAUCGGAAUUACUGGGCGUAAAGCGUGCGCAGGCGGUUAUAUAAGACAGAUGUGAAAUCCCCGGGCUCAACCUGGGACCUGCAUUUGUGACUGUAUAGCUAGAGUACGGUAGAGGGGGAUGGAAUUCCGCGUGUAGCAGUGAAAUGCGUAGAUAUGCGGAGGAACACCGAUGGCGAAGGCAAUCCCCUGGACCUGUACUGACGCUCAUGCACGAAAGCGUGGGGAGCAAACAGGAUUAGAUACCCGUGUAGUCCCUGUCUCUUAUAC
RNAcentral lists this ribosomal RNA (303 nucleotides) under uncultured bacterium. RNAcentral describes it as "partial 16S ribosomal RNA". It matches the Rfam family "Bacterial small subunit ribosomal RNA", at positions 507 to 807 of the family's 1533-position model. The record is from RNAcentral.